UUUGCUUACAAAGGUAUUGUAAUAAGAUUUUAAUUGAAUGCUAAAAGAAUGGAAGUUUAGAAAAAGUCUUUUUUAAAAAUAAAAAUUAAAAUUUUUUUAAUUUGUGCAAAAACAAUUAUUCAUAUUAAAGACAAGAAGACCCUAAGAAUUUUCUGGUUUAAUAAUUUAUAUAUUUAAUUUAUUAAACCUUGAUUGGGGCGAUCAAAAAAUAUUAAUAACUUUUUUUCAUUAAAAUGAUCUAUUAUUAAUAAAUCAAUGAAUUAAAUACUCUAGGGAUAACAGCGUAAUAAUUUUUGAUAGAUCUUAUAGACAAAAUAGUUUGCGACCUCGAUGUUGGAUUAGGAUUCUUUUUUGGUGAAGAAACCAAAAAAAGAAGUUUGUUCAACUUUUAAAUUCCUACUUGAUCUGAGUUCAGACCGG
This 420-nucleotide ribosomal RNA is filed under the name Hyalomma aegyptium. RNAcentral describes it as "partial 16S ribosomal RNA". The stretch from base 275 to 420 matches the Rfam family "Bacterial large subunit ribosomal RNA", at positions 2473 to 2619 of the family's 2925-position model. The record is from RNAcentral. Lineage: Eukaryota; Metazoa; Arthropoda; Arachnida; Ixodida; Ixodidae.